RNAcentral lists this ribosomal RNA (492 nucleotides) under uncultured bacterium. Its description in RNAcentral is "partial 16S ribosomal RNA". It matches the Rfam family "Bacterial small subunit ribosomal RNA", at positions 29 to 507 of the family's 1533-position model. The record is from RNAcentral.
AGUGAACGCUGGCGGUAGGCCUAACACAUGCAAGUCGAACGGCAGCACAGUAAGAGCUUGCUCUUACGGGUGGCGAGUGGCGGACGGGUGAGGAAUACAUCGGAAUCUACUUUUUCGUGGGGGAUAACGUAGGGAAACUUACGCUAAUGCCGCAUACGACCUACGGGUGAAAGCAGGGGAUCUUCGGACCUUGCGCGAUUGAAUGAGCCGAUGUCGGAUUAGCUAGUUGGCGGGGUAAAGGCCCACCAAGGCGACGAUCCGUAGCUGGUCUGAGAGGAUGAUCAGCCACACUGGAACUGAGACACGGUCCAGACUCCUACGGGAGGCAGCAGUGGGGAAUAUUGGACAAUGGGCGCAAGCCUGAUCCAGCCAUACCGCGUGGGUGAAGAAGGCCUUCGGGUUGUAAAGCCCUUUUGUUGGGAAAGAAAAGCAGCAGGUUAAUACCCCGCUGUUCUGACGGUACCCAAGGAAUAAGCACCGGCUAACUUCGUG